This 251-nucleotide ribosomal RNA is filed under the name uncultured bacterium. RNAcentral's name for it is "partial 16S ribosomal RNA". It matches the Rfam family "Bacterial small subunit ribosomal RNA", at positions 524 to 776 of the family's 1533-position model. The record is from RNAcentral.
UACAGAGGUCCCAAGCGUUGUUCGGAUUCACUGGGCGUAAAGGGUGCGUAGGCGGUCGGGUAAGUCUGAUGUGAAAUCUCCAAGCCUAACUUGGAAACUGCAUUGGAUACUAUCCGGCUAGAGGAAUGGAGGGAGACUGGAAUACUUGGUGUAGCAGUGAAAUGCGUAGAUAUCAAGUGGAACACCAGUGGCGAAGGCGAGUCUCUGGACGUUUCCUGACGCUGAGGCACGAAAGCCAGGGAGCAAACGGG